RNAcentral lists this long non-coding RNA (513 nucleotides) under Elaeis guineensis (African oil palm). RNAcentral describes it as "long non-coding RNA (EGUI_LNC074097)". The record is from RNAcentral. Lineage: Eukaryota; Viridiplantae; Streptophyta; Magnoliopsida; Arecales; Arecaceae.
UCCAGCAGCCCAAAACUUCACCAAUUCCAGUCCCCACGCUGUCCGAUAAUAAUCAUCUAUACAUUAACACAAUUCUGUAUAAGACUCGUAACCAAUACCAACUAAUUAGAAUCGAAAGGAUGAGAGAGAACUUAGAUAACAGAGAAUAGAAAAUCAAAACAUGAGCUUUAUCUCCACAUCGUCUCCUCCUGCUACCACCACCAUCGUGACUGGACUAACCUGGUAUUCAGUGACUGAUGCACUAUGGGAAGGUCGGUCGUGUCAGUUGGGUCCUUUUUAUGGCUCAACAAUCACUGACAUCCACGUUAGACUGCUGAAUUGAGUAAUGAUCUGGUGGGUGAUGCUCAGCAUUUUUCCAAACAAUUAGACCAUUACUUAGUCAGUCAGUCAGCUUUUAUUUGAACUUGGAUGAUGAAAAAUAAAGUUUGCUUUGUCAAAUUUACUUGAUAUUGCUAGAUUAGAUUGUCUUAUAGCAUUUUAAAUAGCUCCUCCAUACUGAGGCUAAGUCCUAUG